RNAcentral lists this ribosomal RNA (459 nucleotides) under uncultured bacterium. Its description in RNAcentral is "partial 16S ribosomal RNA". It matches the Rfam family "Bacterial small subunit ribosomal RNA", at positions 339 to 795 of the family's 1533-position model. The record is from RNAcentral.
CUACGGGGGGCUGCAGUAAGGAAUAUUGCGCAAUGGAGGCAACUCUGACGCAGCCAUGCCGCGUGCAGGAAGAAGGCCUUAUGGGUCGUAAACUGCUUUUAUUUAGGAAUAACCCCCUGCUCGUGAGCAGGGCUGAAGGUACUAAAAGAAUAAGCACCGGCUAACUCCGUGCCAGCAGCCGCGGUAAUACGGAGGGUGCAAGCGUUAUCCGGAUUUAUUGGGUUUAAAGGGUGCGCAGGCGGGCUAUUAAGUCAGUGGUGAAAUCCCGGGGCUCAACUCCGGAACUGCCGUUGAUACUGGUAGUCUUGAAUUUGGUUGAAGUGGGCGGAAUGUAGCAUGUAGCGGUGAAAUGCAUAGAUAUGCUACAGAACACCAAUCGCGAAGGCAGCUCACUAAGCCAAAACUGACGCUCAUGCACGAAAGCGUGGGGAGCAAACAGGAUUAGAUACCCGAGUAGUC